This 473-nucleotide ribosomal RNA is filed under the name Solaster stimpsoni. RNAcentral describes it as "eukaryotic LSU rRNA". It matches the Rfam family "Eukaryotic large subunit ribosomal RNA", at positions 2378 to 2858 of the family's 3401-position model. The record is from RNAcentral. Lineage: Eukaryota; Metazoa; Echinodermata; Asteroidea; Velatida; Solasteridae.
AACGGGCUAGGUCAGAAUCAGCGAAGAAAGAAGAUCAUGUAAAGCUUGACGCUUGUAAAGUAGACAUGGGGGUGUAGGGCAGGUGGGAGACUGGGCCUAUAGCCGGCCUCGAGCGGGCCUCGAGCGGGCCCAGUAUUCUAGCGCUAAGCGCCCGGACGCCUCGCGACUUGUCGGGCGCGACCCGCUCCGCUCUGACGACAGCACCAGUCAGGGACGUUUGACUGGGGCAGUACGUCUGUCAAAAUGAUAACGUAGGUGUUCCAAGGCGAGCUCAGCGAGGAUGGAAAGCGCGCGUGGAGCAAGAGGACAAGAGGACAAGAGCUCGUUUGAUUUAGAUUUGCGGUAGGCUUAUAAAUAGACACAAUGAAAGCGUUACUAUCGACCUUUCUUUUUAGCUUCGAAGUUUGAAGCAAGAUAUCUAAACAAAAUGACCACAGGGAUAACUGGCUUGUGGCAGCCCAAGCAUACAUAGC